This 304-nucleotide long non-coding RNA is filed under the name Manihot esculenta (cassava). RNAcentral describes it as "long non-coding RNA (MESC_LNC002054)". The record is from RNAcentral. Lineage: Eukaryota; Viridiplantae; Streptophyta; Magnoliopsida; Malpighiales; Euphorbiaceae.
CAUUAGUGUACACAAAGAUGAUGCAUUGCAUUUAUCCUUGUACUUGGCAUUGCUCCUUGUACAUUGCUUAUGUGAGACGGCACGGACUUCGUGAGGAUUCAUUAGCCCUCAGAGGAAAGACCUGGAACAGCCCUACGGGGACCAGGCACAUGGUACUUAGGUACCCCAGAUGAGAUAGAGGGAGUUUUGAUCCGUCCGGCCGAGGUGAUGUGAUUAUGUGUUGCAUUCCAUGAGAGCAUGUUUUAUCACCUGUUAUUUGACUAUUCUACUCACUGGGCUAUAGUAGCUCAUCCCUCUCCCCUAA